UACGUAGGGGGCCAGCGUUGCUCGGAAUUACUGGGCGUAAAGGGUUCGUAGGUGGUGCGGCAAGUUGGGAGUGAAAUCUCUGGGCUUAACUCAGAGGCUGCUUUCAAAACUGCCGUGCUCGAGUGCGGGAGAGGCCAGUGGAAUUGCAGGUGUAGCGGUGAAAUGCGUAGAUAUCUGAAGGAACACCAGUGGCGAAAGCGGCUUCCUGGUCCAGCACCGACGUUCAGGCACGAAAGCGUGGGGAGCAAACAGG
This 253-nucleotide ribosomal RNA is filed under the name uncultured prokaryote. Its description in RNAcentral is "partial 16S ribosomal RNA". It matches the Rfam family "Bacterial small subunit ribosomal RNA", at positions 524 to 776 of the family's 1533-position model. The record is from RNAcentral.